This is a non-coding RNA of Hydra vulgaris (swiftwater hydra), 665 nucleotides long. The record is from RefSeq and is a predicted model, not a curated record. Lineage: Eukaryota; Metazoa; Cnidaria; Hydrozoa; Anthoathecata; Hydridae.
GCACCUACAACAUGGUAUGAAGUUAACACUAAUGUAAACAGCCCAAAACUUAUAUGAUAUAAUGCAGUUAAAAAAUUGUUUUCACAAGUUAGAGAUAGGCGCUCAGUUGUUAAAACUAAUAAUAGUUUUUAGGUUGUGAUUAGUGAAAACACAACUUGUUCUGCAAUAAAGACUAAAAACCUCCCCUCAAUUUAUAACAGACCAUUAAAGUCAGAUGGCUCAUAAAGUGGUAUGGUGGACUUGUCUUCUGCAUUUGAUAUUAUACGAGACUAAGAAAUUGGAAUGUAGCAGUGUCUACGGUUCUUGGUGUUCAUGGAGAAGGACUUAACCAAAAGGAUAGAAUCUGAAUAUUGUUUUGGGACCAAACUCGAUUUAUCCUACAAAGAAAAAAUAGACAAGUUUGUGGAGUCCAUGCUUCACUUAAAAGUAUAUGUCCAUGAUGAAUUCGCAAUGAAGAUUUCACUUGGAUAAAAGUUUCAUAUAAUCAGGUUCCAUCUCAAGGAGUAUCUCGAUAGGCAGAAAAAUCCGCUCGGUAUUACAUCAGAACAAACAUGUGCAUAAAAACUUAAACAAGACACUGAAAAGGUUCGUUGCGUCUGAAAGAAACGUCCAUCACGGUGAAAAACUAAGAGCUAUGGUUGUUGAGCGAGAUUAUAAGAAGAUUU